This 253-nucleotide ribosomal RNA is filed under the name uncultured bacterium. Its description in RNAcentral is "partial 16S ribosomal RNA". It matches the Rfam family "Bacterial small subunit ribosomal RNA", at positions 524 to 776 of the family's 1533-position model. The record is from RNAcentral.
UACGUAGGUGGCAAGCGUUGUCCGGAAUUAUUGGGCGUAAAGCGCGCGCAGGUGGUUUCUUAAGUCUGAUGUGAAAUCCCACGGCUCAACCGUGGAGGGUCAUUGGAGACUGGGGAACUUGAGUGCAGGAGAGAAGAGUGGAAUUCCACGUGUAGCGGUGAAAUGCGUAGAGAUGUGGAGGAACACCAGUGGCGAAGGCGACUCUUUGGCCUGUAACUGACACUGAGGCGCGAAAGCGUGGGGAGCAAACAGG